This 620-nucleotide ribosomal RNA is filed under the name uncultured Bacteroidales bacterium. RNAcentral's name for it is "bacterial SSU rRNA". It matches the Rfam family "Bacterial small subunit ribosomal RNA", at positions 103 to 722 of the family's 1533-position model. Lineage: Bacteria; Pseudomonadati; Bacteroidota; Bacteroidia; Bacteroidales. The record is from RNAcentral.
CGGGUGAGUAACACGUAUCCAACCUGCCUCAUACUCGGGGAUAGCCUUUCGAAAGAAAGAUUAAUAUCCGAUAGCAUAUAUUUCCCGCAUGGGUUUUAUAUUAAAGAAAUUCGGUAUGAGAUGGGGAUGCGUUCCAUUAGUUUGUUGGCGGGGUAACGGCCCACCAAGACUACGAUGGAUAGGGGUUCUGAGAGGAAGGUCCCCCACAUUGGAACUGAGACACGGUCCAAACUCCUACGGGAGGCAGCAGUGAGGAAUAUUGGUCAAUGGACGCGAGUCUGAACCAGCCAAGUAGCGUGAAGGAUGACUGCCCUAUGGGUUGUAAACUUCUUUUAUAUGGGAAUAAAGUGGUCCACGUGUGGAUUUUUGUAUGUACCAUAUGAAUAAGGAUCGGCUAACUCCGUGCCAGCAGCCGCGGUAAUACGGAGGAUCCGAGCGUUAUCCGGAUUUAUUGGGUUUAAAGGGAGCGUAGGCGGAUUGUUAAGUCAGUUGUGAAAGUUUGCGGCUCAACCGUAAAAUUGCAGUUGAUACUGGCAGUCUUGAGUGCAGUAGAGGUGGGCGGAAUUCGUGGUGUAGCGGUGAAAUGCUUAGAUAUCACGAAGAACUCCGAUUGCGAAGGC